RNAcentral lists this transfer RNA (71 nucleotides) under Marmota monax (woodchuck). RNAcentral's name for it is "tRNA.Val". Lineage: Eukaryota; Metazoa; Chordata; Mammalia; Rodentia; Sciuridae. The record is from RNAcentral.
GUGGUUGUGGCUCAGCGAUAGAGCACUUGCUUAACAUGUGCGGGGCACUGGGUUCAAUCCUCAGCACCACA